This 280-nucleotide ribosomal RNA is filed under the name uncultured bacterium. Its description in RNAcentral is "partial 16S ribosomal RNA". It matches the Rfam family "Bacterial small subunit ribosomal RNA", at positions 74 to 353 of the family's 1533-position model. The record is from RNAcentral.
CUUGUCUUUCUUUGCUGGCGACCGGCGCACGGGUGAGUAACACGUAUCCAACCUGCCCUUUACUCGGGGAUAGCCUUUCGAAAGAAAGAUUAAUACCCGAUAGUAUAAUGAUUCCGCAUGGUUUCAUUAUUAAAGGAUUCCGGUAAAGGAUGGGGAUGCGUUCCAUUAGGUUGUUGGUGAGGUAACGGCUCACCAAGCCUUCGAUGGAUAGGGGUUCUGAGAGGAAGGUCCCCCACAUUGGAACUGAGACACGGUCCAAACUCCUACGGGAGGCAGCAUG